UUUUUUCUUUCUUCUCCCUCUCUUCUUCCUUCUCUUCUGCUAUGUUUUUUAACGCCUAUCAGAUAGGCAUCACUCCCUAUAUACUAAUUUUGUAUUUAUACACGGGCGCAUACUAGACUCAAAAAUUUUGUACAUGUGGUGUUGCCUAUGUAAAUGACACUAUUAAAUAAAAUAAUUUUUUUAAAAAAAAUAAAAAAUUAAAUUUUAUUAAAAAAAAUGGUGAUGCCGCCUAUGAGAAAGACACCACUCCUACCG
RNAcentral lists this long non-coding RNA (255 nucleotides) under Gossypium raimondii (Peruvian cotton). RNAcentral describes it as "long non-coding RNA (GRAI_LNC002048)". Lineage: Eukaryota; Viridiplantae; Streptophyta; Magnoliopsida; Malvales; Malvaceae. The record is from RNAcentral.